CGCCCUUCACCAAGGGCAAGUCACUAAACCUCUCUGUGCUGCCGCCCCCUUUUCUAUGAAAUCAGAAUGUUGAGAGUACUUGCCUUGGGACUUCCCUAGGGGUCCAAAGAAUCUGCAUUGCAGUGGAGGGGAGACGGGUUCAAUCCCUGGUUGGGGAACUAAGAUCCCACAUGCCCGCAUGCCGCAACCAAGACCCAGCACAGCCAGAUAAAUAAAUAAAUAGUUUUUUUCAAAAGAGUCCCUGCCACAUCGACUUGUGAGGAUUAAAUGAGUUUUUCUGUGCUAAGCAGUUAGAACCGGGACUGUUACCACCUCCCCUUCCACCUCGCCUCGCUGCCCCUCUCUGCCUCACACAUUUGCUUCAACAGCCAGGCUCUUCUUGUAGAAUUGCAAAAACCUUGGGAGCAAAUUGUGCUGUUUCUCCUCUUAGUGCCUGGGUCCUUCAAAGAGGCUGUGUCCUCUUCCCGACCUCAGCAUGCCCACCGAGCCUGCUGCUCGUGUUGCUGGCGUGUUUGCCUGAUUUCUUGUGUGUCUCCCCAGCUGGACUGAGAGCUCUGUGGGCAGGCCUGGGUCCCUGGUGCCUGGAACUCUGCCCAGCGCACAGCAUGCCCUCGAGGGGUAUGUGUCAACCAACCGAACGGAUGGAGCGCUCGCCCCUAGAGUGCUGGGUGUGGGUCUCCCCUGUAGCGGGGGUGCUUGUGUAGGGGACUUUGUAGUGUCGCCAUGUCCCAGAGAUACACAUCAACAUUUGUCUCACUCCCCUAGGCUGUCUACUAUACUGUAAUGGGCAUCAAAACACAGAGAUAGCCCAAGCUAGGGGACAGGCCUGGAACCUUCUGGGGCUACAGACUCACUGCUGGAGAGGACCAGCAGAGAGAGGAGGCCAAGGGGAAGGAUAACAGGACCCGAGUGGUGAGACGUCCGCUGUCGCCCAGCUCUCCUCGGGUCUUCGGCGAUUCGUGGGACCCUGGGACCUGCCCCCGGUGUGCCGCAACAAAGCUCCCUGGUCUGGAGUCAGACCACGGAGACGGUCCCACAGCUCUGCUGUGCCGCUNNNNNNNNNNNNNNNNNNNNNNNNNNNNNNNNNNNNNNNNNNNNNNNNNNNNNNNNNNNNNNNNNNNNNNNNNNNNNNNNNNNNNNNNNNNNNNNNNNNAGUCAGACCACGGAGACGGUCCCACAGCUCUGCUGUGCCGCUGCCCUGAGCCUCAUAAAAGGGGGUAAUGAUACCUAUUCCACCUUCCCCGUGGAGUCAUGUGGCUCAGAUUCGUCCACUCGCCUACUGUUUACCUAUCCAUCCAUCCAUCCAUUCCAUAAUUUUGAUCAGUAUCUUCUAUGCCAGGCAUGGCCCUGGUGGCAAAGGACAGACCUUUGCUUAAGACAUGCUUCUGGGGAACUUGGAGAGUUAUGAAGCAGACAAUGAAAUCAUGAAGUGAGUUAUGACCGAGAAAUAGAGUGCAGCAGGCAUGAAUGUGAUGAACAGGGGACAGGCCUCGUUAGGGUCCCCAGGAACCCUGCUCAUGUCGGGGUAACGGGUCUGUGGUCCUCACGGGCACAGGGCCCUGGCACCCGAUGCUGCUUCCUCGCUGCCCUCCCAUGCCAAGGACGGGCGCUGCUGCCCUUCAGUGCGGGCAAGAGCUUGCACCUCUCAGGACUUAACGUCGUGAAGCUCAAACUCCUGCCAGGCCCUUGUGUUUAGACCCAAGUUUAGGGUAGUUCAAGGUGUCUGGGAAGAGAAGGAAAACCAUCCGCAAUCCCUCACUACCCCUCUGGCAGCUGGGAUGGCCUGGCCCCAGAGAUUCUCCCUCCUGGACUCAUCCAGAAGCAGUCUAGCAUUGUUCAAAAGCUCCACCCUGGAGCUGGGUGGGGUUUGAAUCACUCCCCACCUCCUUUACUACUAGCUGGGUGACCUUGGACAAGUUACCUAAUCUCUCUGAGCUUCAGCUUUUGCAUUUGUAAUAUCCACACAUGUGAGAUUACAUGACGAUACAAAGUGCUUAAAACAGUAAUCGCCCAAAACAGGGAUCGCACGCAGCGAGCUCUCUUUCUGAGCGCUGCCUCGGCCAUCACCAUGACGCAUCGUGUGCUGUUUGUCUGCCUGUCCCGAGGUCUUUGAGGGCAGGGACCCUCUGACUUCCCCAUUCAUCUUGGUAUCCCCAGGGCCUGGCACAGGGCCUGACUCAGGGCAGACAGGCCGAAAUAUCUGUUGAAUGAUGACCGACUCAGCGGUCAGCGGGAGCGCUGGGACGGGCUGGGUAGAGCCAGGGCUGGGCGGGGCCCCGGUGCAGGGAUCUGCGGGGAGCUGUCCGAGUCACAGGAGGCGCGUCAGUGGCCACCUGGUCUGGUGCCAUGCUUUUCUCUUCCUGCUCGCAGCUCCCGAGUGCUCUGUGACCGUCUGCUGAGGCGGGAAGGGCAGGUGCUCAGGGAGGUAGAGGGGAGCCAGUCUAGAGGGUUCACGCUCCCGUCACUAAGCUGCUGGGCCAGGGAUAGCUAGAGGGAGUCCACAGGGCCCCGCAGGAUGGAUGAGGCACCCUGGAGUGGCCACGGCGGGCAGGAAAGAGGGGGCGGUCCCAGUGGCCACCAAGAUGAGAAGGGCGCCAUCCCCAACAGACAGGACCGUCUGUUAGCAGAGCCCGCCCCGUGCCCUGCCCACGCUGCAGGGGAGCGGGGGCCUGCUCUGCGCCUCUCAGGACUCCCAGCCCGGUC
RNAcentral lists this long non-coding RNA (2703 nucleotides) under Capra hircus (goat). Its description in RNAcentral is "lncRNA (ENSCHIG00010023128.1)". Lineage: Eukaryota; Metazoa; Chordata; Mammalia; Artiodactyla; Bovidae. The record is from RNAcentral.